GGGCUUGCCUUUCACGAACGAAGCUGGCUCAUGAUUAGGGCACUCGACCUCCUCUUCGGGCUCCUCUUGUCCGGCUGGCUGAACCUCCACUUCCUGAUUGAUCUCCUGGCCCUUGUGGUUCACCUGAUUGAGCUCGAACGAGGCUGCCGCUUCCGGUGCACCUAUUGCAUGCACGAUGAGUAAGAAUGUGUGCAUACUAAAUGAGGAUGAAUACUUGUACAUGAUUAGAACUUCACUGGACACUCAUUUACGGAAUGACUCCCAUUACAAGCUCACAAAAGAUGACUAACUAACUUAGCAAGAUUCACCGAGUUAAACCAUAAACAGCAACAACCAACUAACAAAGCAGCUCAAGGAACAAAUCAUAACUAAAGAUAUACAGAUCCAACAAACAAGAAUGAGGACAUUCUGGAAAGCUUAUGAAGUGGUUUACAUUUCAUCUUUAGAUAUCAUAGCAAGAUUCACAAGUUAAACAAGUUAACUAAACAAAGUUCCAGGUUCUGUCCCAGAAAAACAGAGAGCUCCUAUUUCUGGAACUCAACUUAGAAGAGCCAUAACUUUUAAACUACUGGACCAAAUGAUCCCAAAUUUGAACAGAAGCUAGCUCACAAAGUUUACAACAUCUUUUAUUUAGACAAGUCUUUCAGAAAACCAAGUUAUCAUCAGGCAA
This 670-nucleotide long non-coding RNA is filed under the name Sorghum bicolor (sorghum). RNAcentral describes it as "long non-coding RNA (SBIC_LNC004405)". The record is from RNAcentral. Lineage: Eukaryota; Viridiplantae; Streptophyta; Magnoliopsida; Poales; Poaceae.